ACAGUGGUGGUUCAGUGGUAGAAUUCUUACCUUCCCUGCGGGAGACCUGGGUUCCAUUCCUGGCCAGUGUA
RNAcentral lists this transfer RNA (71 nucleotides) under Loxodonta africana (African savanna elephant). It matches the Rfam family "tRNA". From Rfam's summary of the family: Transfer RNA (tRNA) molecules are approximately 80 nucleotides in length. Their secondary structure includes four short double-helical elements and three loops (D, anti-codon, and T loops). Further hydrogen bonds mediate the characteristic L-shaped molecular structure. tRNAs have two regions of fundamental functional importance: the anti-codon, which is responsible for specific mRNA codon recognition, and the 3' end, to which the tRNAs corresponding amino acid is attached (by aminoacyl-tRNA synthetases). tRNAs cope with the degeneracy of the genetic code in two manners: having more than one tRNA (with a specific anti-codon) for a particular amino acid; and 'wobble' base-pairing, i.e. permitting non-standard base-pairing at the 3rd anti-codon position. Lineage: Eukaryota; Metazoa; Chordata; Mammalia; Proboscidea; Elephantidae. The record is from Rfam by way of RNAcentral.